GCAGUCGCCGCGGUAAUACAGAGGGUGCGAGCGUUAAUCGGAUUUACUGGGCGUAAAGCGUGCGUAGGCGGCUUUUUAAGUCGGAUGUGAAAUCCCUGAGCUUAACUUAGGAAUUGCAUUCGAUACUGGGAAGCUAGAGUAUGGGAGAGGAUGGUAGAAUUCCAGGUGUAGCGGUGAAAUGCGUAGAGAUCUGGAGGAAUACCGAUGGCGAAGGCAGCCAUCUGGCCUAAUACUGACGCUGAGGUACGAAAGCAUGGGGAGCAAACAGGAUUAGAUACCCCAGUAGUCCCUGUCUCUUAUAC
This 302-nucleotide ribosomal RNA is filed under the name uncultured bacterium. Its description in RNAcentral is "partial 16S ribosomal RNA". It matches the Rfam family "Bacterial small subunit ribosomal RNA", at positions 508 to 807 of the family's 1533-position model. The record is from RNAcentral.